CUUGCUUUCUUUGCUGGCGACCGGCGCACGGGUGAGUAACACGUAUCCAACCUGCCCUUUAUUCGGGGAUAGCCUUUCGAAAGAAAGAUUAAUACCCGAUAGCAUAAUGAUUCCGCAUGGUUUCAUUAUUAAAGGAUUCCGGUAAAGGAUGGGGAUGCGUUCCAUUAGGUUGUUGGUGGGGUAACGGCCCACCAAGCCUUCGAUGGAUAGGGGUUCUGAGAGGAAGGUCCCCCACACUGGUACUGAGACACGGACCAA
This 258-nucleotide ribosomal RNA is filed under the name uncultured bacterium. RNAcentral's name for it is "partial 16S ribosomal RNA". It matches the Rfam family "Bacterial small subunit ribosomal RNA", at positions 75 to 334 of the family's 1533-position model. The record is from RNAcentral.